CUAACCUACGGGGGGCAGCAGUGGGGAAUAUUGCGCAAUGGGGGGAACCCUGACGCAGCAACGCCGCGUGCAGGAAGAAGGUCUUCGGAUUGUAAACUGUUGUCGCAGGGGAAGAAGACAGUGACGGUACCCUGUGAGAAAGCCCCGGCUAACUACGUGCCAGCAGCCGCGGUAAUACGUAGGGGGCAAGCGUUAUCCGGAUUUACUGGGUGUAAAGGGAGCGUAGACGGCAGCGCAAGUCUGGAGUGAAAUGCCGGGGCCCAACCCCGGAACUGCUUUGGAAACUGUGCGGCUCGAGCGCGGGG
This 305-nucleotide ribosomal RNA is filed under the name uncultured bacterium. RNAcentral describes it as "bacterial SSU rRNA". It matches the Rfam family "Bacterial small subunit ribosomal RNA", at positions 332 to 653 of the family's 1533-position model. The record is from RNAcentral.